AGAACGGGUCGUCGGUUCUCCCCUGCCGCCUAAACCAUACCGCCUCUCUCUUUCGUGGUGGAUGAUGUUAUGGGUUUAUUAAAGUCUGUCGGCUUCGUCCCCCUCUUCCUUAUGCAACGCAAGACAUAAAGGUUUCGUGGUGUUAUUUUUCCUAUACCGCCAUCAGCUAUGGACAUGCUCAAAUGCGAGAUUUAAUUGGCUUUGUUAAGACAGGACAAAAACUUCCUCACUCCCAAGCCAAAUCAUUGCGCGAAUUGAAUUGGCUUUGUUGUUGCACAUAAUCUGAACUCAAAGUAUGUUGUUGGUUUAUAUCAAUUUAAAUAGUUUUUCCUAAUGAUGGUUUGUGCUAAAGAUUAUCUUUCUAAAUUUAUCAAUGUUUUUGCUGUUUGAUCCGUUCAUUCUUUUGGGUGCUUUGUUGUUAUUUGCCCAGAUUUACAUAGAGCUAAUUACAGGUACCACAUACUCUAACAGUCUUCCAAAGGAAUGGAACUUAAUCCUAGGAUAUCUUCAACUUAACUCCAAAUAAAUUAUAUGGAAACACUGUAAAUUAUAUCUCAUUAAGCACUCAUUUUAUGCUAUUGGAUCUAUUUUUUUAAUGGCAUUUGGAACUAUAUCUGGAGUGGAAAAUAAGUUUCUUUCGUAAUUCUAUGGAUAACAAUAGAGGCCAUAACUCUUAAUAUUUCUAGUGUCUAGAUGACUAUUAUGAUAUGAUAUAUAAGCAAACAAAAGAGCAUUCAAAAUAAGAAGUUGGAAUAUAUUAUUCGUAAAAUGCUCUUAAAUGAAAUUAUCUAAUAAUAAUUAGUCUCUGCGCAAAUAAAUUACAGUGGUGAAUCUCAGCAGGAUCAGAAUUUUAAUUUUUGGAGAUACGUAAAUGAUAUAGAAUAUACAUGUUCUCCAGUUUAGUAAGACACUUGUGACACUUCCAUGCCUUAUUUCUCAUAGAUGUACUUUCCUUUACCUCAAGAGAAGAGUUGAGGGUCAUAAUUUUGGUUUCUAUAAGGCAUCAAUUUAGUAUAUCGAAGGUACUUCAAUCUUAUUGUGUGUAUACCAUCCAUCAUCAAAUAUUGCUGGAGCAUAUGCUUGGACUGGGCCAUGGGAACCAUAUACAAACCUGCAUAGUUGCUGAGAUAGGCAGGCUUGACCUGUGCCAUCAUAAUAUGAUGAGAAACUUCAGCUGGUGGAUCAAAUUUCAAAGUCUACAGGAAAAUCAUGCUUUAAAAGGGAUCAGCUAUAUAAGAAGCAAGAUGAAUAGGGUUCUAGAGACUGGAUUUUUCCCAUUUCACGGCUUAGAUGUUAAAUAUAAAAAAUCCCACAUAAGCUCACUUAUUCUUAAUCUGACAUUAUACUUGGUGAAAUUCAACAAUUUCUGCAUCUUGGGAUGGACGUUCAUGCCCAUGAACUAAAAUAUUUUAAGCUAAGAAAUAGAAGAAGGAUUUGCAUGAAACUAAACACUUCUGAUAUUUGUUUUCAAAUAAAAAUAGUAAUACAACUCAGUUAUAAAUUAAAACUCAUAAGAAAGUUAUGAAAAUAUAUGUAGAAAAACUCAAAUUAUAUUGAUAAAAAAUUGGCAUACAGAUAAGGGACGUAAAGGCUAGAGCAUUAAUGCAUUAUGUACAUAUUCAUGACUAUUUUUAAUUUUAAUAAAACUAAAUGCAAUACUAUCAACUCUAUUAAGAAAUAAUAUCAUCUCAACAACCGCGCAUCGCGCGGGUAUUAGUUUAGUAUUGUGUGUAAUGUGUAUUAUCUCUCUAUUUUGCAUACACUGAAUUAGAUUAAAUGUUGUAGCUGACUUAGGAAGUGUUGUACAUGUUUUGUUGUUCUUAGUUAUAAAAUUUGAUUUGGAACAGCUACUAUUGAUAUAUUGUUUUUAAGAUAACACAUAUGAAUUAUAUUUUAUUAUUUUUUGUAGUUAUUAUUGUUGUGUAGGAGUAGUAUUUUUAACAUCACAAUAAUGUAAAUUUGAGGAAAACAAUUGAUAAAAAAUGGCUUAAAUAUGUUUGUAGUCUCUGUAAUUUAAAGAAGAAUCUAAUAGGGUCCCUAAGAAAUAAAGCCUUAGCAAUUGGUCCCCAACAAAAGAAAUUUAUUUGCCAUAGGUCUAAUUCAUCAAUAUUGACCGAUUAACUACCCACGUGGCGAGCCUAGUUAGCUGAGGGUUGGUAGUUGGCACGUGGGCUUUUCACAUUAGUUUUAGUCUCUAUAAUUUUUUUAAAAAAAAACUCAUCUAGCUGUUAUGAUAGCUAGAUGUAGAUAAGCACGACCAUCGUUCAGGGAAGAGACUUGGAGAAAAAAAUCAGUAGAUCCGCUCGAUAGGGUUCAGGCUGAGGGGAUUGAACAUACUACCAGCUGGCAAACGUACGCGGGCGAAGUGAUAUGCGUAUGGACUCGUGAAACAGAGCAUUGAGUUGACGCAGAGAGAGCAACGGUUGCCGGAAAUCGCGGGGUUUCGACACUAGGUUCUGACUAUCCUACACCUAGGUCAGCAUUGCUCUGGCGUGAAACUGAGCCCAACAACGAAAUAGGCCCAACCAAUCUCCAUUUGAGUACAAAAAAAACGUUGUGCACUAAGUUAGUAGAUAUAUAAAUAUACUAAACGCAACGGGAUUUUGAAUCUUAAGUUAGUAGAUAUAUAAAUAUACUAGUUAUAAGUAAACACAAAUUUUCUCUCUCAAAUCUCGUUAGUAUAUAAUAUUGUGUACUAACUUAUUUUUUAGGGACCUAAAACAAUUGAGGGGCGUAAGGCCAUUGCCUAAAUUGUCUAAUAUCACACAAGAAGGUGGUGAAAGUAAUAAAGUGAAGAAAAAAAACUAAUAUUUGGUAACACCAAAUUUACAGUUUUUUGCGGUCCUAAGUUGCUAGUAAUAUUUGAGUAUAAUACAAUGAUUGAUGCAUUUCGUGGCACAUAAACAGUGCCAAUAAUUGCUAACCAUAUGUUGAGGAAAAUUUAAUAACAGGUCAAAAAAAUUGUAAAGUACUUCACAAUAAAUUAAGAUAGAGGAAGGUGCGAGAGAAAAGAAGUGAGAAUUGAGAUUAAAGAGAGAAAGAGAGAGUUAAACCAAAAUAGUUUGAAAUCUAUUGAAAAGCAGAAAUUAAACCAACUCUAACAGCUACUGAAUUCCAAGUACUAAGACAUAACAUGAAUUCAAAUAAAAAUGUAAUCAGUCAAUGGGGCAUGGUAUUGGGCAUGCCGGCAUGGUGUUGCGACACAUUGGGCAAGUAUCACUCCCUUUUAGCCAGGGAACAAGACAAUCUUGGUGAAACACAUGCUUGCAAGGUGUUGAUAAAACCUCCAUAGCACCAUCACUACCAAACUCUGUUAGACAAAUACUACAGCUUUCCAUGGAAGCACCUUCUUCUACGGGCACUUUCUUGAUGGAAUCAAAGUCAUGACAAAUAGUAAUAUUCAAAACAAAAUUGUACCAACUAAAGUGGGUGGUUUUA
This is a long non-coding RNA of Lotus japonicus, 3438 nucleotides long. RefSeq lists it as uncharacterized. The transcript has 4 exons. The record is from RefSeq and is a predicted model, not a curated record. NCBI's taxonomy places the organism in Eukaryota, Viridiplantae, Streptophyta, Magnoliopsida, Fabales, Fabaceae.